Molecule: long non-coding RNA, 2373 nt
Organism: Esox lucius (northern pike)
Lineage: Eukaryota; Metazoa; Chordata; Actinopteri; Esociformes; Esocidae
Exons: 9
Source: RefSeq, a predicted model, not a curated record
UAGUUGAAGUAACAAGCUAAGACCUUAAGAAUCGGCGAACCAAAUGACAAUAUUCACUUAUAGGUUACUGUUAUCCUGUGCGUUUUCAACUUUUAACGAACACUGAUGCGGAUCACAGGAUGUGUGGAUGCAACAUAAACUUCAAGGUGGUCAUACAUCUCCCAGACACAUGGAGACCUCCUGCAAUAGGCCACAUAAUGUCCAAGAGCAUCCUGGGUUAAGCCUCCUCUAAAAGCAAUGACUGCCCGUAAAGUAAAUCUCUUUCCCUGGAGCAUCAGAUUGGAGGGAAAUUCACUCAAAGGAAAUUCUGUGGAGUUGCUUCCCAGAGGGACACUGUGACAGACUUUGGAUCGGCCUGAGGCAGGGGGACUCGGGAAGGUCAAGGCCUUCUUCCACCGCGGUCUGAAGAUGAGCCAUGCCAGAAGCCUGCAGUACAGCAACAGAAAUACAAACAAAUGCAAUUUCCCUUCUGACUUGUUUGCUGAGACCACAAUUCUGUGAAGAGCACUGUUUUGUUAAUGAAACACAAGUGCGUUUUGUCAUUGACUUUUCAAUGAUAGUGGAGAUGUGGCAUUGUGCAUCAAUUUGGAGAGCACCAGACUUCAGUCGGACAGCUUUGAAUAUUUCGCUCAUCAGUUCUGCCCUCUGUAUGUAGGCCUGUGCAUUCAGACCCUUUGUGGUGAUGGAUUUCACUAGCUGGAGGAGGUUGUUGGAAUCCUCAUUGCAAACAAUAUUUUCAAAAGUUACACUAUCACAGCCCACUUUGAGUCUUUUCCCUCGAACAGAUGGAUCUGCAUGGAGCCAUUCAGGACAAGGAGAGAGGUAUGAACUCCUCUUCCUCUUUUUGGGUGGAACUGCUAAGCCUCUCCAGUUUUCAACAGCUUCUUCAUCUGUUGGAUGGAUGUUUGUGACAGUGUCAGACUUCCCAGAGCAGGAAGCAUCCAUCUCUGGCCUUCCAUCAAUCCUGCAGGUUGUGAAAAAACACGCAUGUUGCCUUCAAUGAAGGACAGAUGUCGAGCAAUGAAUCGAUCCACUCGAAUAGGCAAGUGUUCAUGCUUGAAAAGGCCGCGUUUGAUGUUUUUAAACUCGGCUUCGACAUUGGCUGAACUUGCAGUGAUUUUGGAGCUCCGGAAGUGAGGGAUCAUUACCCCUGUCCAGAGAGGUCUGUCUGUGUUUGGUCACAUGGAUCCACUUCUUCCAGGUCCGCACCCUCUACAUCUGGAAUGAUGACACACUCUUCUGCAAUUCUGGCUUUUAGCAGUCCCACCGGCUGAUCAUCUUGAUGCAGUGAGCAACAUCAACCCGCACGAAACAAGGUGGGACUUUUGCUGACUGUCUACCAACAUUUUCACCACUGGGACACUUGAGCUCUCACCCCCUGCCACAACAACCUGAUAAAGGAAUAUAUGGCCAGACUUGCCAUUUGGUCUCUGUAGUUUCCUCACCAAUGAGCCAGUUGCAUCAAAACUCACAGUGGGGGUGGCCAAAUUAGGCAGAUGACUUGGCUCAGGAUCUCCAAAAUCCAUCAGCUUUAUUGCCUCUGAUGCCCUCCAUACAUGGGGUUCCUUUCUACCUUCACACAGUUCUUUGGAUAUCUGCACACGCAAGUUACCAGACAUCGGACGUUUGGAACAGCCAGUGUGCAGGGAGUCAUCAGUGUUUUUAAGCAAAUACCUGAACAUCAUUGUGCUGUUUAUUUCAGGCUUUUUGUCACAUUUUAUGUGAAUUUGGCCACGACACUCCUUACAGUUGCCUCUGAUUACAAUAUAUUUGUCUGUGACUGAUGGAUAGACCUUGGCUCUUUUAAAAGUAAAUGUGCAGGGACAUUUCACUUCUUGUCAAAUGUGAUGAUUUAUCACAUGCGUCCAGAUACCUUUUUUUUUGUUUUAGAGAACUUGUUUUUGUAUGUCACUGUUUCAGGCAUAAAUUCAAUCCAUUUCUGAAAUGGAACUUCAAAAUCAAAAGUGCAGAAAUCUUUUGGACUGGAGGAAAGGGACCCUGGCUCAAAAUUAGUGUCAUCACUACUGCCACUUGUUUCAUGAUCACUUUCAUGAGUAAACCCUAAAGCCUUCCAGAUGUUGUGUCUGUUUAAUUUAACAAAAGUGUAUAGUGCCUUUGCAGUGAUCUUGUUGUCUAGCUGUUUACUAAGCUCUGUCCAGAUGCUCUCAUUAGGAGUAGCUAUGUUGCCAUUUUGGAUUAUGGCCUCUUUUGAUGAACACAGGACUGUGAAAAUGGAAUCCCUGUCGACUGCUGGUUUCUUGGGCAUCUGGCAUAAGCAAAACAUAAUUACCCUCAAUUAUUCUGAUUCCAAAAAAUAUCAUGUACAGCAUAAAUUUGUUUUAAUAUAUUACUGUAUUGGUCUGAAUAUAAUGA